Molecule: microRNA precursor, 97 nt
Filed under: Cordylochernes scorpioides
Lineage: Eukaryota; Metazoa; Arthropoda; Arachnida; Pseudoscorpiones; Chernetidae
Source: RNAcentral
GGAGGUCUCUGGCUGUAGCGGUGUCUGUCUCUAUGAUUGCGUGUAAAUUGUUGUUGCGCGCGGCCAUUGUGCGGACUAGCCUACAGCCGGCGCCCAC